RNAcentral lists this long non-coding RNA (211 nucleotides) under Elaeis guineensis (African oil palm). RNAcentral describes it as "long non-coding RNA (EGUI_LNC021175)". The record is from RNAcentral. Lineage: Eukaryota; Viridiplantae; Streptophyta; Magnoliopsida; Arecales; Arecaceae.
CACAAACCUAAAGUGAAUACAUUUAAUAUAAUUAAAAAAUAAAAUAUUACAAAAUUAUAUCAAAAGAUUAGAAGUAUCUGAAGUCUUGCCAUAAGAAUGGUCCUGAAUAAAUGACACCACUCAGUCCUCUUUACCGUUCACUUUUCAGUAGAUAUGUAUUAUUCUAGACGAAGCAUACUAUUUGACUAAUCUUCAUAUAUCAAUCAGCAAG